Molecule: ribosomal RNA, 253 nt
Filed under: uncultured bacterium
Lineage: Bacteria
Description: partial 16S ribosomal RNA
Rfam family: Bacterial small subunit ribosomal RNA
Source: RNAcentral
UACGUAGGGGGCAAGCGUUGUCCGGAUUUAUUGGGCGUAAAGAGCUCGUAGGCGGUCUGUCGCGUCUGCUGUGAAAACUCGGGGCUUAACCCCGGGCCUGCAGUGGGUACGGGCAGACUAGAGUGCGGUAGGGGAGACUGGAAUUCCUGGUGUAGCGGUGAAAUGCGCAGAUAUCAGGAGGAACACCAAUGGCGAAGGCAGCUCGCUGGGACGGUACUGACGCUGAGACGCGAAAGCGUGGGGAGCAAACAGG